This 72-nucleotide transfer RNA is filed under the name Bos taurus (domestic cattle). It matches the Rfam family "tRNA". Rfam says of the family: Transfer RNA (tRNA) molecules are approximately 80 nucleotides in length. RNAcentral also lists the same sequence under 2 other names. The record is from Rfam by way of RNAcentral. Lineage: Eukaryota; Metazoa; Chordata; Mammalia; Artiodactyla; Bovidae.
UCUUCAUUGGCUCAGAGGUUAAAGCGUCUGCCUGCAAUGUGGGAGACCUGGGUUCGAUCCCUGGGUUGGGAA